Molecule: long non-coding RNA, 1352 nt
Organism: Trifolium pratense (red clover)
Lineage: Eukaryota; Viridiplantae; Streptophyta; Magnoliopsida; Fabales; Fabaceae
Exons: 6
Source: RefSeq, a predicted model, not a curated record
UAGUGGAAAAAACACAUUUUAAAUCAGGGAUUUUAAAUCAGCUGCCAUCCACCUGAUUUAAAAUGUUAAGAUCAUGGGACACGCUGGGAAUUUUAAAAAUUGAAGUGAUAUUAAGUCAGGCCACCUGACUUAAAAACAUUUCAUAAUUAAAAUAAAAAUAUAAUAAUUAAUAAAAUAGAAAAUGAAAGAUGGUUCGCGACCUUCUCCCUCAACACGGACAAAUCCGAACCCUAAACGCCUCUCCGCCCCGAACUUCUCCCUCUUUGCAACGAAGCCCUAAACGCCUCUCCACGAAUCCCCUCUCUCCGAUGCAUCUCGGCGAACCUUCCUUCCUCUGCGACGAAAUCCUUUCUACUACCACCGGUGACUUUGUUCUUCCGACUCGUUGUUCAGAGUUUUCAAGGUUAAAUCGGUUUUCCUUUCGAUUCUAGUCUUCUCAUUCUUCAAUAGAUUAUGAUUCUAAUUUUCCUUUUGUUUUGCUUCAUUUUGGUUUCGGAGUUUUCAAGGGUUUUUCAACAGUUCUCUUCGUUGUUGCCGCCAUCAUCACGUUCAAGUCUUAAUCAAUAUGUAUCCCUAUUUCUUCAGUUAUACAUUUUAUGGAUAUGGUUAUACUUGAAGAACCAAUAGAGAGUCAGACACCAUUCUAUCAAAGGAAUUUUCAUAAGUUUUGUUUGCUUCAAUGGCACUAUCAAUAGUCAUACACCAUUUAUUGCAUUUCCUGUUAUGUUUUUAUGGAAUAAUUGACAAUUGGCAUGACUUAGUUUUUGCAAGGAGUUGAAAAAAUUAAGAGUUAAAGAUUGUGCAGUAUAGAGAGGCUCGAUAGAAGAACACUAGUAAGGUUUAUGAUGCCAUCAUCAACCGAAAAGUAUGUAGAUUGGAAUAAAGACUCAUUUUUUAAAUUAAUUAUAUCUUUAUAGGUGAAAAAAACGAUCAUAUCUAACUCUUAAAUGCCACCAUCUUUGUUUCAUUGUAGAGAAGGCUGAUGUUUAAGUUUCAAUUUCCCAUCUUGGCUGAUUGCUAGUUAACUAUGUGUUGAAUUAAAAGGUCUGAGGACAUCCCUGUGGAAAUAUGGAGAUGAUUGAUUCAACCCAGCGAUUUUAAGAAUGGUCUCCCGAAACCAACUUAUGAGUUAACUGUUAAAGGAGGAGACAAAGUUAAGCAUACAAAUAGAAGGAAUCGAGGUUACAAGUACAAAUUUGUAACUUUAUGAUUUAUAAUUGAUGAUUCUAGGUAUAUGAUAUUAACUCUACAUUAUGGAAUGAUUUUAGUAUAUAUAAGUAUAAUUUAUGCUAUUAGGUGUAUGGUACUCUAUUAUUAUAGUAUGAUGAUUUUAGUGUAGAAGUAUAAUUUUG